Molecule: small nucleolar RNA, 108 nt
Organism: Acomys russatus (golden spiny mouse)
Lineage: Eukaryota; Metazoa; Chordata; Mammalia; Rodentia; Muridae
Product: small nucleolar RNA SNORA72
Exons: 1
Source: RefSeq, a predicted model, not a curated record
CUGUUAAGGAUAUUGAAAAUGUUGGAAUUGACAGGCUAGACAUCCAUGCCCGUGUCCCCAGACCUAGUUCUUUCCUUAGGUUUGGCUUUCUAAAUGCUGCUGAUAAGC